UGGCGCACGGGUGCGUAACGCGUAUGCAACCUACCUUUAUCAGGGGGAUAGCCUCUCGAAAGAGAGAUUAACACCGCAUAAAAUCACAAGCUGGCAUCAGCAAAUGAUCAAAUAUUUAUAGGAUAAAGAUGGGCAUGCGUGACAUUAGCUAGUUGGUAAGGUAAUGGCUUACCAAGGCUACGAUGUCUAGGGGAUCUGAGAGGAUGACCCCCCACACUGGUACUGAGACACGGACCAGACUCCUACGGGAGGCAGCAGUAAGGAAUAUUGGUCAAUGGGGGCAACCCUGAACCAGCCAUGCCGCGUGCAGGAAGACGGCCCUCUGGGUUGUAAACUGCUUUUAUCCGGGAACAAACCCUUUUACGUGUAAGAGGCUGAAUGUACCGGAAGAAUAAGGAUCGGCUAACUCCGUGCCAACAGCCGCGGUAAUACGGAGGAUCCAAGCGUUAUCCGGAUUUAUUGGGUUUAAAGGGUGCGUAGGCGGCCCGUUAAGUCAGGGGUGAAAGACGGUGGCUCAACCAUCGCAGUGCCUUUGAUAC
This 539-nucleotide ribosomal RNA is filed under the name uncultured Sphingobacteriaceae bacterium. Its description in RNAcentral is "bacterial SSU rRNA". It matches the Rfam family "Bacterial small subunit ribosomal RNA", at positions 96 to 633 of the family's 1533-position model. The record is from RNAcentral. Lineage: Bacteria; Pseudomonadati; Bacteroidota; Sphingobacteriia; Sphingobacteriales; Sphingobacteriaceae.